Molecule: non-coding RNA, 1753 nt
Organism: Ictidomys tridecemlineatus (thirteen-lined ground squirrel)
Lineage: Eukaryota; Metazoa; Chordata; Mammalia; Rodentia; Sciuridae
Source: RefSeq, a predicted model, not a curated record
UAGCUUCAGAUUUCUUACUGUAUUUAUAUAUGUUUAACUUAAUAUAUAUGGUCAUGUUUCACUUAAUGUUGGGGACAUGACCUGAGAAUGUGUUGUUGACAAUCAUCAUUAGCAUUUACUUACACAAACUUCAUACAUCUCCCACAAACUUCUGGGACUAUUAUUGAAAUGUGUAGUCUGUUGUCUUACCCAGCAGUAACUGUGUAACACUAUGUGACUCUAUUAUUUGGGUUUAAUACAAAAUGUCAUCUCUCCCUAAAAUGAAAUUAAGACACUUAUGGCUAAAUUUAUUUAUUGCUUAUCUUGGCAUGCUCCCAUUUUCUGAAUGGAGUAAAGGUACUGCUCUUGAUUAUGCUUUUAGAAUUUCUUCCCAUUGCUAAUACAAGACCAAUACUUUACUGAAAUGAAUCUUUAGGUAUUAGCUGAACAAAAGGACAUCCAGAGGCAACUUAAGAAUAUAAUGCCAGAAUUUAUAAGAUGGGAUUCUAUCAAAUCAUCUUUGCAAACAAAAGUAGAUAGACAUGGCAAAAAGAAAAGAUGUUUCUUGAAUUAUUUUCUGUUUUCAAAUGUUUGUGUGUACAUGUUGUGUGUGUAUGUGAACAUAUAUUAAAUGGUAACUGGCUUUAUAAUGGAAAAACAGAGAAUUUUAAAGCCAAAUAUGUAUAUCCUUGAUGUACACAUUUUGGGUGUUUUGGUCCCAUUGGCCUAAUUUACGUUCUUAAUUCAAAUCCAUUUGUUGGCAGCAGUCCAGUAGUGAUUUUCACUUUGGCCACAACUAGAGAAAAGGCUUUUGAUAUUUACCAUAGGAAUUGAUGAUUUUUCAUGAUCUCAAAACCCUUGUCACUAACAGUAGCUGUUCUAGUUUGGAGCAGGGAUAUCCCCCUCUUGGUAUGCUAAUGUAGAGGUCUGCUUAUUACUCCCAUCAUUAAGCAGGAAAAGUAUAGCCAGCAGAGCCCCUAGUUUGGAUAUCAUUUACUCACAUAUGAGAUGAGAAACAGUUUGCUCCAAGAAAUAUCCUAUUUAAGCAUAAAAAAUUUUUGUAAACAAUGAUAUGCCAUAAUAUUUUACUUAGUGAUGAUUUAUUGGUAAGUAUGUCAUUACAGUAAAUGAGGUCAGUUUAUUUCCCCUAUUUCACAUUUAUUCACUUUUCAGCCUUUAUAAAAAAGAAAUAAAUCUUACUGAGCAGAAAACAAUCAGGAUUUUCUAAGAGCCUAACAAAUAUGACCUUAUUUACAAUUAGUAUUAUGAAACACAAGCCUUCUUUUGUGUCUUUAUUUUUACAGUAGAGAAAUAACUGGUAUGAUGAAAAAGCACCUGAAGCAGCUUGCUUAUAUUUAUAUCAUUCUGUUUUUCACAUUUUGAUAAAAAGUUCAUUGGUAUAUAUAAAACUGCUUAAGUACUGUCCCUAGAUUUAUCAUUUAUCAAUAGCUGCAAUUCUUAUGAUUACAAAAAUGUGGAAAAAAUAGAAUAUGUGUAGAAUAUUUUCAGGAAAAGGGAACUAAAAGAACUUUGGGGAAUUUCAUCUGUGCAAAUAUGUGUUGAGCUAAGACCCUUAUUAUGGGUUGGAUGUAUACGUGAGGUAUCAGAGACCAAAGUUUUUUCAACAUGGUAAAACAUACUAAUCACUUUAUGAAUUGAAUCUGUUGUAAUUCAGAGAAAGGCUUUUUCAACUCUGAAAUGUCUUAAAAUUAUGAUAUUUUUGUACUCGUAGAUUCAUUAUCUUCAAUAAACAUUUUGAAAUUUUUUGCUUCUA